RNAcentral lists this ribosomal RNA (463 nucleotides) under uncultured Plesiocystis sp. RNAcentral's name for it is "bacterial SSU rRNA". It matches the Rfam family "Bacterial small subunit ribosomal RNA", at positions 338 to 797 of the family's 1533-position model. Lineage: Bacteria; Pseudomonadati; Myxococcota; Nannocystales; Nannocystaceae. The record is from RNAcentral.
CCUACGGGGGGCAGCAGUGGGGAAUAUUGCGCAAUGGGCGAAAGCCUGACGCAGCCACGCCGCGUGAGCGAUGAAGGUCUUCGGAUCGUAAAGCUCUGUGGGGGGAGAAGAAUCAAGCCGGUGAAGAGCCGGCCCUGACGGUAUCCCCUUAGCAAGCACCGGCUAACUCCGUGCCAGCAGCCGCGGUAAUACGGAGGGUGCAAACGUUGCUCGGAAUUAUUGGGCGUAAAGCCCACGUAGGCGGCCUAUCAAGUCGGAUGGGAAAGCCCUGGGCUCAACCCAGGAAGUGCAUCCGAAACUGACAGGCUUGAAUGCCGGAGGGGGCCAGAGAAUUCCCGGUGUAGAGGUGAAAUUCGUAGAUAUCGGGAGGAAUACCAGUGGCGAAGGCGCUGGGCUGGACGGCGAUUGACGCUGAGGGGCGAAAGCGUGGGGAGCAAACAGGAUUAGAUACCCCGGUAGUCCG